UUCUGUUAUAUAACUAUUCGCUUGAAGUGAGCACGGACGUGAAAGUGACUUCGGAAGGUAUCAAAAUGGUUCGGCAGUGGUUUGUUCUUGUGAUACUUUUAGGGACUCUUCUUGCAGUUUUAGCCUCGACGAGUAAUGGCAAAACGCGGCCGUUUGAGGCCGACUGGUUCGGUAAUAGUAUAGAGGAACAGGAGUCAUCGAACUCGUUGGAAAGCGGACUACGGGAUAAUAAUCCAGACUUAAACAGAGUAUUACAAAACCUCAUGCGUAAGUUCAGAAGAGUCCAAGCAGUACAAAAAAGAACUGACGCAAUAUGUCGAUCUCGAGGACCAAUGGCGCCAUGGAAGAAACUUUACUGCGGAGACCGGAAAUAGCCAUCCGCCAUGGUAAUCCAAUAUGGCGUCCAAGAGAAAAAAACGAGUGAAUGGAUGUGUUGGCGGUUUGUGUCUAAAGGAUUGUAUUUAUUUUACCCCAAAGUGUUUAAUGCCGCUGCAACAAGACCUGACAACAUUAUUUAUACUUUAUUUUUCGGAUUGGUUUUUCUUGCAAAUGAUCUGAUAGGCAUCCAGGCAUAUUGAUAUCAGUGCUAUUUAUCAUAUCUACUUGAAAAGGAAUUUUGAACGACGCCAAUUCCCACCUUGUGAACCAGACUCCCGAAAUGUAUUGCACGACUGACUUUUCAAUACCUAUUGCUGAGAGUUUUGAUCCGUCGUUAUUACUACGACAUCACCAAGCAAAUGGAGAUUUUCUCACGAAAUGUAUGUGCUAUAUUUCUGUCAAGCAAUUCAUUCUAUAUCAUUGUGCUGCACUUUGCACGGGUUUUACCUAUUGUGGGCCUUGCAAGUUUACGCGUACACAAGAAAAUGACAUUCAAAACAAAUGCCAAACAUAGGUUUUCUACGCCAUGAAGAUGCUCUUUGUAAGAAUUCUCGUUAUCAGUCAGCUGAUCGGCUUCUAAAAUGUUUACGUAAAGAACCAAGUGACAACCUACAGGCAAACAACCGGUCCGGGCAGAUAUUUUAUGCUACGAUAAUGAAUAAGCAGUUCACGGCCUUAUGGCACAUGGUGCUAUACACUUUGCAGGAUUUUACUUAUUUAAGCGCUACACGUUCAACAAAACGACAUUCGAAACAACCGGAAAACCGAGAUGUUCACGCCAUGAAUAUGUAUACUGGUGUUCUCUAAGCAUUUUACCUUUUAUCGUUGCCAUGCACUUGGUCAGACAUUCGGCAAUCCAGAAGUAUAUAUUUAAAUGUUACGGGAGAAAACAUUCUCAAUGUGUUCAAUAAUAACUUCCUUCGAGUUUUUGAGUCACACUAUCGGCCAUCUUUUACCUAGGAGUGACGAAUAUGCGCAUCAUGUCUUCGCGAGAAAACGUUGAGACGACAUCUUAGAUCUUUGCAAUUCAUACGCUGGAACUAUUUACCAGACAAGUACUGAUGUCUGCUUAAUGGAUUUAUCGUUUGUGGAGUACGGUGAUGUUCACUUCGAAAAAACUUUUGAAUACUUGUGCGUUACACACAUGCCUCUGCACUGUACCGUGCAUCCGCAGUGCACAGUGACCUGGAGUAUGGAACCGAUCUUUUCAUUAUAUUGGAUACGAUACAUGAAUUAUUUAACUGCUUAACGUCGAAUUGACUUCCUGCAUAUUAUACACAUAUAAGGCAUUGGGAUGUUGUAUCCAAACGACACAAAAGGGAGGCUACAGACAGGCGGGGUUCAUUAUGGGCCAUACAGUUAAGCUUCACGAAGUCGCUGAUAGGUGCAGCCGGCAAUGUCUAACUUUACUAGUCAUAUUUUUAUCACUAAAGUGAAAGCAUAGCCAGUUCUCUCGCUAUGCAUUCAGUCACCUGGAGACCUCAUAUUGGACCCAUGGGUCAUGUUUAUAGUCUUAAUUUCACCAAGAAGGACAACUCAUUGUAUGGUAUAGUGUCGUAUGUUAGGUACAUUGCAGUAUUUUUAUUUGUCUUAGGGCGACUACAGCAAAUAAGAGAUUUUUCUCUGUUUUAUUCAUAUCAUUUCCUUAUUCAUGCGACAAAAAAACACUAUCUUUCUUCCAAAGAAGCAAUAACACUUUCCAGGCGAUAAAGGGACUGUAUUCAUAAAAUUGCUUCACUUUUUGUGGGCAGAUUUGAAACAAGCUAGAUUUAAUAAUCACUUUCAAUGGAUAUGUGAGGUGUUUGGUCAAAAGGAUUUUUUUAAAGCACUGUAGUAAAAAAUUUUUUUGGAUAACUGCCGCCAUGUCACUAUUUGUUGAUGUUGACAUCAAUUGAAACUAUCUUCCUUCUAACAAUCUGGACUGUCGGUUUAAUUGUAAUGAUUAGUUUCAGUCAACUGACUUCAAAUUGCGUUUUAGUUUAAUUUUGCGUUUAAGUCGUAAUUUAUAUUUUUGUGAGCAACACUCUUUAAAAAUAAUUGUUUUGGGCUUUUCAAAGACCCGCUUGAAGUUUUUCAGCCAAAAUGUAUAUGCACCCCCUACAUGCCCGAGAG
Long non-coding RNA from Lineus longissimus, 2490 nucleotides. RefSeq lists it as uncharacterized. NCBI's taxonomy places the organism in Eukaryota, Metazoa, Nemertea, Pilidiophora, Heteronemertea, Lineidae. The record is from RefSeq and is a predicted model, not a curated record. The transcript is spliced from 2 exons.